This 277-nucleotide long non-coding RNA is filed under the name Prunus persica (peach). Its description in RNAcentral is "long non-coding RNA (PPER_LNC000576)". The record is from RNAcentral. Lineage: Eukaryota; Viridiplantae; Streptophyta; Magnoliopsida; Rosales; Rosaceae.
AAAUAUUAAAGUACUAAACAAAGCUUUUCAAAUUGCCACACGGUCAAGAAACUUCAAUUUAAAGAGUUUGAUUUGCUAUUACUGUUGGAGAUGCUUUAACUUUAAAUUGCAUGUAGUACCGCCCAAGAUACAAGGUUGACUUUAGUUAUGAGUUAAAACCUAACAAAAGUAGCACCCAAAAAAAAACAAACAAAAAAAAGCUUACGAAAAAUAUAUUGUGAAAUUUUUUCUCACACACUUGUUGUGGGUUCUUAUUAUACGGGUAAAACACCCCCCA